Molecule: small RNA, 1115 nt
Filed under: Pan troglodytes (chimpanzee)
Lineage: Eukaryota; Metazoa; Chordata; Mammalia; Primates; Hominidae
Description: processed transcript
Source: RNAcentral
AACCUCCUUCGUGAAGCUCACACCUCCCCCGCCCCGGGAGGGGUUUGCCCGCCACUGUCGCUGAAUGAUUGCAUCAUCGAAAGCAGAAAACCACUUUUGCAUCCUUCGGUCUCUGGCGUGCCUGCCAUGACGUAAUAGCUCUGCGGAGGUGGAAGUUGGGGAGCUUUGAGACCCUGCCCUCUACUCUGGGCCCUUUCCUUUCUACCGGCGCCCUUCGGAACUGGGCUGCUUCUCCCUGGAUGCUCAACGCCAGUACCAUGGAGAUGCCCGAGCCCUGCGCUACUAUAGCCCACCCCCCACUAACGGUCCAGGCCCCAACUUCGACCUCAGAGACGGAUACCCGGAUCGAUACCAGCCCCGGGACGAGGAGGUCCAAGAAAGGCUGGACCACCUGCUGUGCUGGCUCCUGGAACACCGAGGCCGGUUGGAGGGGCUGGCUGGCAGAGGCCAUAGUGACGUGGCGGGGGCACCUGACAAAACUGCUGACGACACCGUAUGAGCGGCAGGAGGGCUGGCAGCUGGCAGCCUCCCGGUUCCAGGGAACACUAUACCUGAGUGAAGUGGAGACACCGAACGCUCGGGCCCAGAGGCUUGCUCGGCCACCGCUCCUCCGGGAGCUUAUGUACAUGGGAUACAAAUUUGAGCAGUACAUGUGUGCAGCCGCCUGGGAAGCCACCCUCUGCUCUUCUCAGGGGAGGUAGACUGCACAGACCCCCAGGCCCCAUCCACACAGCCCCCGACCUGCUAUGUGGAGCUCAAGACCUCCAAGGAGAUGCACAGCCCUGGCCAAUGGAGGAGUUUCUACAGACACAAGCUCCUGAAAUGGUGGGCUCAGUCAUUCCUCCCAGGGGUCCCGAAUGUUGUUGCUGGCUUCCGUAACCCAGACGGUUUUGUCUCUUCCCUCAAGACCUUUCCUACCAUGAAGAUGUUUGAAUAUGUCAGGAAUGACCGUGACGGCUGGAAUCCCUCUGUGUGCAUGAACUUCUGUGCCGCCUUCCUUAGCUUUGCCCAGAGCACCGUUGUCCAGGAUGACCCCAGGCUCGUUCACCUCUUCUCUUGGGAGCCUGGCGGCCCAGUCACCGUGUCUGUACACCGAGAUGCACCUUACGCCUUCC